UGUAGCUUAGUGGUAGAACACUUGUCUUGCAUGCAUGAGGCCCUGGGUUCAAUCCCUAGCA
RNAcentral lists this transfer RNA (61 nucleotides) under Ictidomys tridecemlineatus (thirteen-lined ground squirrel). Its description in RNAcentral is "Spermophilus tridecemlineatus (thirteen-lined ground squirrel) tRNA". It matches the Rfam family "tRNA", at positions 6 to 65 of the family's 71-position model. Rfam says of the family: Transfer RNA (tRNA) molecules are approximately 80 nucleotides in length. Their secondary structure includes four short double-helical elements and three loops (D, anti-codon, and T loops). Lineage: Eukaryota; Metazoa; Chordata; Mammalia; Rodentia; Sciuridae. The record is from Rfam by way of RNAcentral.